GUCCACGCCGUAAACGAUGAUGACUAGCUGUCGGGGCGCUUAGCGUUUCGGUGGCGCAGCUAACGCGUUAAGUCAUCCGCCUGGGGAGUACGGCCGCAAGGUUAAAACUCAAAGAAAUUGACGGGGGCCUGCACAAGCGGUGGAGCAUGUGGUUUAAUUCGAAGCAACGCGCAGAACCUUACCAGCGUUUGACAUGGUAGGACGGUUUCCAGAGAUGGAUUCUUUCCCUUACGGGACCUACACACAGGUGCUGCAUGGCUGUCGU
This 265-nucleotide ribosomal RNA is filed under the name uncultured bacterium. Its description in RNAcentral is "partial 16S ribosomal RNA". It matches the Rfam family "Bacterial small subunit ribosomal RNA", at positions 793 to 1055 of the family's 1533-position model. The record is from RNAcentral.